GUCCGGGAGUCGGGCGGGCGUUUGCCUCCGCCAACUUGGUCAGGUCCGGAAGGAAGCAGCCACAACGGACAGCGACGGGUCGCUCGGC
This 88-nucleotide signal recognition particle RNA is filed under the name Novosphingobium sp. RNAcentral's name for it is "partial signal recognition particle sRNA small type". The stretch from base 8 to 86 matches the Rfam family "Bacterial small signal recognition particle RNA". From Rfam's summary of the family: The signal recognition particle (SRP) is a universally conserved ribonucleoprotein involved in the co-translational targeting of proteins to membranes. Archaeal SRP consists of a 7S RNA and homologues of the eukaryotic SRP19 and SRP54 proteins. In most bacteria, the SRP consists of a 4.5S RNA and the Ffh protein (a homologue of the eukaryotic SRP54 protein). Lineage: Bacteria; Pseudomonadati; Pseudomonadota; Alphaproteobacteria; Sphingomonadales; Sphingomonadaceae. The record is from RNAcentral.